UUCGGUGGUUAUAUCCGUGGUGUUCACCUCUUCCCAUUCCGAACAGAGAAGUUAAGCCCACGAGAGCCGAUGAUACUGCCUUUGGGCGGGAAAGUAGGUCGCUGCCGACU
RNAcentral lists this ribosomal RNA (110 nucleotides) under [Candidatus Thermochlorobacteriaceae] bacterium GBChlB. The record is from RNAcentral. Lineage: Bacteria; Pseudomonadati; Chlorobiota; Chlorobiia; Chlorobiales; Chloroherpetonaceae.